GCAUUUUUUACAAUUUUCCCUAUAUUUUUUUUUAAAAACGUCAUUUUGAAUGUAAUCAGUUAUCAACUAAAAGCCAAUUUGUCAAACAUCUUU
Ipomoea nil (Japanese morning glory) is the source of this 93-nucleotide long non-coding RNA. RefSeq lists it as uncharacterized. Lineage: Eukaryota; Viridiplantae; Streptophyta; Magnoliopsida; Solanales; Convolvulaceae. The transcript is spliced from 2 exons. The record is from RefSeq and is a predicted model, not a curated record.